Long non-coding RNA from Sinocyclocheilus grahami, 747 nucleotides. RefSeq lists it as uncharacterized. NCBI's taxonomy places the organism in Eukaryota, Metazoa, Chordata, Actinopteri, Cypriniformes, Cyprinidae. The transcript is spliced from 3 exons. The record is from RefSeq and is a predicted model, not a curated record.
CUAAACAGAAACAAACACGUGACAGUAAGUGCUUGUCUUGCUUAGUCUUGUUGUUUUGUCUCAGAUUACAGCAGUUGAAAAGCACCAUUCAGAAUGACGUGUGUGAUAGUCUAGAAUAUAAGAAACAAAUCUUCUCUGUGGAGAUGUCUUUGAUGAAGAAGAACAUGAAGUCAGUUCAGGAGCGUUUCUUCAAAGAAAUGCACGAGGAAGAGUUGACGAGUGUGGGAAGAGCACUGCAAUCCUUGUUCUUCCCUGAUACAUCGAGGUUCUGACCUGAGGGGAAAAAAAUCUGCCGUUUGAAAAUCACUUUAAGCUACUCCUAAAAUGUGUUUGUAUGCUUGGAUAUCAUUAAUGUUAUGUUCUUUUAAAUUUUUCCUACUCAAAAGGUUUAAUAUUUGUACUUCAUGCCGUUUAUUCUGGUCUUCGUGAAAAAAUGGUUGGCUGUACAUGGUUUUUGCGCACAUAUUUGCUUAUAUAUGCCAUAUAUGGUUUUUAAUAUGAAUAGUUGUGAAAAGCAAAUAAGUAAAUGUUAUAGGUAAUGUAAGAACAAAUGCAUUUAUUUCAAACAUCCCACCUCAUAAUAAUCAACUUCAGAUUUAUAUGUGCAGAAAUGAAAAAGGGAUACUGGAUUCUGAAACCAUCAUAAGAACUUUUUUUGCAUUCACUAGCAAGGGCCUGAAUAAGCAAUCCUCAUGGGUUCAGUUGAUGGGAGAUGUUGAAAAAUAAACACAGAAAGCUUUACUGAAA